Molecule: ribosomal RNA, 586 nt
Filed under: uncultured Sphingobacteriia bacterium
Lineage: Bacteria; Pseudomonadati; Bacteroidota; Sphingobacteriia
Description: bacterial SSU rRNA
Rfam family: Bacterial small subunit ribosomal RNA
Source: RNAcentral
CAGGUCACUCCUACGGGAGGCAGCAGUAAGGAAUAUUGGUCAAUGGACGCAAGUCUGAACCAGCCAUGCCGCGUGGAGGAUGAAGGCCCUCUGGGUUGUAAACUUCUUUUAUCUGGGACGAAAAAGGGACUUUCUAGUUCAACUGACGGUACCAGAGGAAUAAGCACCGGCUAACUCCGUGCCAGCAGCCGCGGUAAUACGGAGGGUGCAAGCGUUAUCCGGAUUCACUGGGUUUAAAGGGUGCGUAGGUGGGUUGGUAAGUCAGUGGUGAAAUCUCCAGGCUUAACUUGGAAACUGCCAUUGAUACUAUUAAUCUUGAAUACCGUGGAGGUCAGCGGAAUAUGUCAUGUAGCGGUGAAAUGCUUAGAUAUGACAUAGAACACCAAUUGCGAAGGCAGCUGGCUACACGAAUAUUGACACUGAUGCACGAAAGCGUGGGGAUCAAACAGGAUUAGAUACCCUGGUAGUCCACGCCCUAAACGAUGGAUACUCGACAUACGCGAUAUACUGUGUGUGUCUGAGCGAAAGCAUUAAGUAUCCCACCUGGGAAGUACGAUCGCAAGAUUGAAACUCAAAGGAAUUGACG